GACGAACGCUGGCGGCGUGCUUAACACAUGCAAGUCGAACGGAAAGGCCCCUUUGGGGGUACUCGAGUGGCGCACGGGUGAGUAACACGUGCGUAACCUGCCCUUGACUUCGGUAUAACUUCAUGAAACUGGGGCUAAUACCGGUUAGGAAUCCUUUCUUCAUGGUUGGGGUUGGAAAGCUUCGGCGGUUUUGGAUGGACUCGCGGCUUAUCAGCUUGUUGGUGGGGUAGUGGCUUACCAAGGCUUUGACGGGUAGCCGGCCUGAGAGGGCGACCGGCCACAUUGGGACUGAGAUACGGCCCAGACUCCUACGGGAGGCAGCAGUGGGGAAUAUUGCACAAUGGGCGGAAGCCUGAUGCAGCAAAGCCGCGGGCGGGAUGACGGCCUUCGGGUUGUAAACCGCAUUCAGCAGGGGAGAAGCUUGUGGUGACGGUACCUGAAGAAGAAGCACCGGCUAACUACGUG
This 465-nucleotide ribosomal RNA is filed under the name uncultured bacterium. Its description in RNAcentral is "partial 16S ribosomal RNA". It matches the Rfam family "Bacterial small subunit ribosomal RNA", at positions 28 to 507 of the family's 1533-position model. The record is from RNAcentral.